AUUGAACGCUGGCGGCGGGCUUAACACAUGCAAGUCGAACGAGUGGCGGACGGGUGAGUAAUGCUUGGGAAUCGAGCUUAUGGAGGGGGAAAACUACGGGAAACUGUAGCUAAUACCGCGUACCACAGGAUGAGCCCAAGUGGGUUUAGGUAGUUGGUGGGGUAAAGGCUCACCAAGCCGACGAGCUCUAGCUGGUCUGAGAGGAUGACCAGCCACACUGGGACUGAGACACGGCCCAGACUCCUACGGGAGGCAGCAGUGGGGAAUAUUGCGCAAUGGGGGCAACCUGACGCAGCCAUGCCGCGUGAGUGAAGAAGGCCUUCGGGUUGUAAAGUUCUUUCGGUAGCGAGGCGUUAACUACAGAAGAAGCACCGGCUAACUCCGUGCCAGCAGCCGCGGUAAUUC
RNAcentral lists this ribosomal RNA (405 nucleotides) under uncultured bacterium. RNAcentral's name for it is "partial 16S ribosomal RNA". It matches the Rfam family "Bacterial small subunit ribosomal RNA", at positions 30 to 526 of the family's 1533-position model. The record is from RNAcentral.